ACCCAACCGGGCCAGUUUCACCCUCAUGUGUCAGGGGUGUGUACAGAGUGUGUAACGAGGGUGUAACGAGGGUGUAUGGAGUCACUUCCCGACAGUACGACCUGUGAGAACACCAGCGUGUGAUUUUUGACGAGGAUCUGAUGCUUGUCACUUCAGUACGAAGACUCGGAGAGACUCUCAGCAUCACACCAUGAUAAACGUUUGGAAAACACACACACACACACACACACACACAGUGUGGAUACGAUAUGAAUCGGUGUGUGUUAGUGAGGUGAUUCAAUUUCACUCCUUCAUUCAGCAGCUCCAGCAAAUAAACCAACCAAGAACCACAAAACAUCAAACAUCUCAGAUCAUUUUAAUAAAAGAGCAGCAAAUUUCACCUUCAGUCUGAUUAUUCAGGUACAAAAAUAAUAACAUAAUAAGAAGAAUAACAAGAAUAAUAACUCAUCAGUAGCUGAUCUGAUAAUCGAUUAUAUUUUGGGUUAUUGGUUGGUUGGUUGAUUUCGUGAAAAGAAACCGGAGCCACACAGUCACAGGACCAGGAUCAAACCCAGGUCCCAGGAUCCCACGCUAAUGUGCAGCACCCAAACUAACAGCGGCACCCGUGAUUCUGUUACACGCCAAUUCAGCAAUUAAAGAGGAAGUUUUUUU
This is a long non-coding RNA of Trichomycterus rosablanca, 651 nucleotides long. RefSeq lists it as uncharacterized. The record is from RefSeq and is a predicted model, not a curated record. The transcript is spliced from 2 exons. Lineage: Eukaryota; Metazoa; Chordata; Actinopteri; Siluriformes; Trichomycteridae.